AAUUCUCAAACCACACUUGUUGUGGCUUGGAUAGUUGGGUGUUGCCAGCAUUAAGUGCUAGGCUCACCUUAAAUAUAUGAGUGGUAAUUUUUAGAAACUUGUUAGGUGUUGUAAAUUAUUAAUACCAUCUACAUUUCUGAAAUGUACUGCUUCUAACCCACCCCACCUUUGAUGA
This 175-nucleotide unclassified non-coding RNA is filed under the name uncultured Inocybe. Its description in RNAcentral is "sequence contains ITS2". The record is from RNAcentral. Lineage: Eukaryota; Fungi; Basidiomycota; Agaricomycetes; Agaricales; Cortinariaceae.